AGCAGCCGCGGUAAUUCCAGCUCCAAUAGCGUAUAUUAAAGUUGUUGCAGUUAAAAAGCUCGUAGUUGAAUUUCGGGGUUAGUAGGCUGGUCGUGCCAAUGGUAUGUACUGGCUUUACUGAUUCCUCCUUCUUGAAGAACUGUAAUGCCAUUAGUUUGGUGUUGCAGGGGAUCAGGACUGUUACUUUGAAAAAAUUGGAGUGUUUAAAGCAGGUCUUACGCUUGAAUACAUUAGCAUGGAAUAAUGAAAUAGGACGUUGAUUCUAUUUUGUUGGUUUCUAGGAUUGACGUAAUGAUUAAUAGGGAUAGUUGGGGGCAUUAGUAUUCAAUUGUCAGAGGUGAAAUUCUUGGAUUUAUUGAAGACUAACGACUGCGAAAGCAUUUGCCAAGGAUGUUUUCAUUAAUCAAGAACGAAAGUUAGGGGAUCGAAGACGAUCAGAUACCGUCGUAGUCUUAACCAUAAACUAAUGCCGACUAGGGAUCGGAUGAUGUUAAUUUUUUUAAUGACUCAUUUCGGCGCC
Molecule: ribosomal RNA, 520 nt
Filed under: uncultured Glomus
Lineage: Eukaryota; Fungi; Glomeromycota; Glomeromycetes; Glomerales; Glomeraceae
Description: SSU rRNA
Rfam family: Eukaryotic small subunit ribosomal RNA
Source: RNAcentral